AUAAUCUCGACGGCCUCCUCACGCGCGACCGACGCGAGCAGUAUUGCUCCGCCACACGAAGGACAUUGUAGAUAGUCGAGUAACUUGCGCUUCAUAAAUUCCAACCGCCAGGGCGCCCGAGACGCGAUGGAGGAAAUCUCUUAGGAACAAAAGAGACAGGAUACUAGUUGUCUGGAUUUAUUGUCAGGCUGCCGACCAGAUAUGCAACCUCGCCUGUGUUUGACUGGAGCUUGAGAGUGUAGUCUCCCGGCGGCGUAUUCGCGGCGACGGUGACAGUAAAACUAAUAACCGGCGUGGACCUGUGAAACUCUUCGCGGGUCAAACUAGCAGGAUCAAUGCUCAUCAGGGGUGAACUAAAAACCAGACCAUUG
This 371-nucleotide unclassified non-coding RNA is filed under the name uncultured bacterium. RNAcentral's name for it is "contains 16S-23S intergenic spacer region". The record is from RNAcentral.